RNAcentral lists this ribosomal RNA (254 nucleotides) under uncultured bacterium. RNAcentral describes it as "partial 16S ribosomal RNA". It matches the Rfam family "Bacterial small subunit ribosomal RNA", at positions 524 to 776 of the family's 1533-position model. The record is from RNAcentral.
UACGUAGGGUGCGAGCGUUGUCCGGAAUUAUUGGGCGUAAAGAGCUCGUAGGCGGUGUGUCACGUCGGCCGUGAAAACCUGCAGCUUAACUGUGGGCGCGCGGUCGAUACGGGCAUCACUGGAGUUCGGCAGGGGAGACUGGAAUUCCUGGUGUAGCGGUGAAAUGCGCAGAUAUCAGGAGGAACACCGGUGGCGAAGGCGGGUCUCUGGGCCGAUACUGACGCUGAGGAGCGAAAGCGUGGGGAGCAAACAGG